UGAUACUCUGGGAAGUACCAAAUGGAGGAUAAACAAAAGGGUACUUUCUGUAGUUGAUAGAAUAUGGGCUGGUGGUGGUCGUCUGGCUGAUUUGGUGGACCGUGAUGAUGUCCCUUUGCCAGAAGAACCAGAUACGGAAGAUGAGGCAGUAUGCACGAAGUGGAGGUGGAAAGUAAAAUCUGUCAAGAAAGAGAACAGAGAAAGACACUCACAACGAUGUGACAUCGAGCUGAAACUUGCUGUAGCGCAUAGAAUGAAAGAUGAAGAAGGUUUCUUCUACCCGCACAAUGUUGAUUUCCGAGGUCGCGCUUACCCCAUGCAUCCACAUUUAAACCAUCUCGGUUCUGAUAUCUGUCG
This 357-nucleotide unclassified non-coding RNA is filed under the name Hevea brasiliensis (rubber tree). The record is from RNAcentral. Lineage: Eukaryota; Viridiplantae; Streptophyta; Magnoliopsida; Malpighiales; Euphorbiaceae.